Molecule: non-coding RNA, 148 nt
Filed under: Chlorocebus sabaeus (green monkey)
Lineage: Eukaryota; Metazoa; Chordata; Mammalia; Primates; Cercopithecidae
Source: Rfam by way of RNAcentral
GCCAGGCGUGGAGGCGGGUGCCUGUAAUCCCAGCUACUCGGGAGGCUGAGGCAGGAGAAUCGCUUGCACCUGGGAGGCAGAGGCUGCAGUGAGCCGAGAUAGCACCACUGCACUCUAGCCCGGGUGACAGUGCGAGACCCUGUCUCAA